Molecule: ribosomal RNA, 627 nt
Filed under: Pseudomonas sp. Horo_4
Lineage: Bacteria; Pseudomonadati; Pseudomonadota; Gammaproteobacteria; Pseudomonadales; Pseudomonadaceae
Also listed under: 3 other names
Description: bacterial SSU rRNA
Rfam family: Bacterial small subunit ribosomal RNA
Source: RNAcentral
UGCAGUCGAGCGGAUGAAGGGAGCUUGCUCCUGGAUUCAGCGGCGGACGGGUGAGUAAUGCCUAGGAAUCUGCCUGGUAGUGGGGGAUAACGUCCGGAAACGGGCGCUAAUACCGCAUACGUCCUGAGGGAGAAAGUGGGGGAUCUUCGGACCUCACGCUAUCAGAUGAGCCUAGGUCGGAUUAGCUAGUUGGUGGGGUAAAGGCCUACCAAGGCGACGAUCCGUAACUGGUCUGAGAGGAUGAUCAGUCACACUGGAACUGAGACACGGUCCAGACUCCUACGGGAGGCAGCAGUGGGGAAUAUUGGACAAUGGGCGAAAGCCUGAUCCAGCCAUGCCGCGUGUGUGAAGAAGGUCUUCGGAUUGUAAAGCACUUUAAGUUGGGAGGAAGGGCAGUAAGUUAAUACCUUGCUGUUUUGACGUUACCAACAGAAUAAGCACCGGCUAACUUCGUGCCAGCAGCCGCGGUAAUACGAAGGGUGCAAGCGUUAAUCGGAAUUACUGGGCGUAAAGCGCGCGUAGGUGGUUCAGCAAGUUGGAUGUGAAAUCCCCGGGCUCAACCUGGGAACUGCAUCCAAAACUACUGAGCUAGAGUACGGUAGAGGGUGGUGGAAUUUCCUGUGUAGC